GUCUACAGUCAUACCGCUUAAUGUUCCUGAUCUCGUCUGAUCACGGAAGCUGAGCAGGGUCAGGCCUAGUUAAUACUUGGAUGGAAAAACAGUCGAAAUGAGAGGGAAAUAUGCCACAUGUAGUGA
Molecule: ribosomal RNA, 126 nt
Filed under: Pteropus vampyrus (large flying fox)
Lineage: Eukaryota; Metazoa; Chordata; Mammalia; Chiroptera; Pteropodidae
Source: RNAcentral